GCUGGUGUAGCUCAGUUGGUAGAGCAGCGCUCUUGUAAAGCGCAGGCCGUGAGUUCGAGGCUCUCCACCAGCUCCA
Molecule: transfer RNA, 76 nt
Filed under: Caudoviricetes sp.
Lineage: Duplodnaviria; Heunggongvirae; Uroviricota; Caudoviricetes
Description: tRNA-Thr
Rfam family: tRNA
About the family: Transfer RNA (tRNA) molecules are approximately 80 nucleotides in length.
Source: RNAcentral